AAAAAUAAUGUUUUCAGAUGUGUUCAGGGUGAAUUUAGAGUGGGCUUUCUUCCAGCACUCUGCUACCCACUAGUAGUCUGGCAUCUUUAGGGCCUGGACCCUUGGGAAAAUGUUCACUUAUAUACGGAAAGUAUAUCAAAUAUACUUGAGGGCAACAAAAAUAAUCAGAGAGUUGCAAGUCUUAAGUAUGGAGAGCCAAUUCUUCUGUACUUUGCUACCAGGUGAUAAUGGUGAUGACGAUGAUGAGGAUAGCAGCUACCAUGAAGUGCUACGUGCUUACUAUCUUCUAUACAUGGUGAAAUUGAAGGCCAGCUUUUGGAACUCAGCCUUCCAAGGAACUUAAAAUUUCUGUUAUGAAGAGUCCCUGAGGAAACUGGAUCCACUAGCUACACUAGCUGAGAAUGCCCACACUCCAGGAUUUCAUUUUUAUUUUGCCACCUCAUUGUUGGUAUCUUAAGAUCAAUGUACUGGAGCAGCGGGGUCUCACAAAGAGGAUACCUGGUAACACACCCAGGCUUUCAGAAUGCACCAUAGGGCUUUAGUGACGUGUCCAGUUUCAGCUGAAAUGUGUCUUCUGGGACCUACUAAUGCUUGUUGAACUUUACUGGAUCUCAGAAGCUGGGUAUCAGAAGCUCAGAUGUUCCUUGGAGCUACAAUAUCAACAACCUGUGAUGACAGAGAGAAGGUUGCUCCAUGAUGGAUUUGGAAACUUACUGGCUAGCUAAACCUGACUGAAUGGGAAGGAAUGUGGAUAGCUUUGGAACUCUAGUUUCACUAGAUGAGCUGGAAUUUGUAUUUUGACAAAUUGCAAGUUAUGGCUAUUAAGUAAUGCAACUGAUUUUUUUUCCCUUAAAACAAACAAUCUAGAAUCUGUGUAAUCAAAAUAAUUUCUCUAAAAAGGCUGCAAGUAUACACUUAAAAUGUUGGGGCAUUCAGAGCAUUUGGAACAUUACAUUUUUUUGAAUAUUAAUUGGUAGAUGAAAAUACCAACUUUUAAGUCAUAUGUUUGAAUUUUUGAAACAUUAAUAUGCAUUUAGAGUUUGUAAGUCAAGUGAGUAAGGUAAAAACUGAUAAGGUAAAAAAAAAAAAAAAAGAGGGAGUUCCUUGCUGAGUGUGAAUUUAAAGUAACUAGACUUCCUUUUGUCCAGUGGCUCUCAAUAAUUUACUUCAGCAGGCAUUUUUUUUUGAGGAUAUUCUAUGAUAUCAUGACCCUUCUUGUAGGAGCGUGCUUUCAGUGGUGAGGCAGUCUGAGAAUGUGUGAAGCAGUGUAAUGAAGCCAGACCAAGAUUGAAGCUUGGCCUGGGGUUUGAGCAUUAGGAAAACUGUUGAAGGGUUAUGUAUACAUCACACACACACACGCACACACGCACACACACACACACACUCUCUCUCUCUCUCUUCUCCAUACUCCCACAACAAUGUAUAGUAUUUACUAUACAUUGCUGAAGAUCUAUAACAUGGAAUGUCUAGUGCUAAGUGCAGUGUCCUUAAUGAAAUUAUAUUGGUUUGGAAUUAUUUAUGAGUUUGGGAUUAUUUGUCAGUACCCUUAAAUGAUCUUGACACUCACCUAUUUGAAAAGAUAUUGAGGAUUUGCCAUUUGAUAUUGACCAGGGUGUAUUGUGCACAAAAAUAUUGUGAAUAUACAUCUGUCUGUCCUUAAAUCGCUGUAAGUUUUAACUGGAAUAGAUUUGCUCCACAAUAUUCAGUAGGGCUGAUAUUUCAUGCCUUCUGGAUGAGAAAAGAAUUGGCAAAAAUUAUAUCUUGGGCUGCCUCGCACAUCUUUGAACAGGAUAAGGGAAAAAUAAAUAUAAGACCUAUGAGUUAUGGCAUCAGGCUUUAACUUUAAUUUAUGAAUUAAACCAACAAUAUUAUUGAUUAUUGCAAUUAUCUAUGUUAAUUUCACUUGUUCUCCUUUGAAAAUUAAUUAUGUUUAUCUUACUUAUUGUGAAUAAAG
RNAcentral lists this long non-coding RNA (1954 nucleotides) under Macaca mulatta (Rhesus monkey). Its description in RNAcentral is "lncRNA (ENSMMUG00000056511.1)". Lineage: Eukaryota; Metazoa; Chordata; Mammalia; Primates; Cercopithecidae. The record is from RNAcentral.